This 253-nucleotide ribosomal RNA is filed under the name uncultured bacterium. Its description in RNAcentral is "partial 16S ribosomal RNA". It matches the Rfam family "Bacterial small subunit ribosomal RNA", at positions 524 to 776 of the family's 1533-position model. The record is from RNAcentral.
UACAGAGGUCUCAAGCGUUGUUCGGAUUCAUUGGGCGUAAAGGGUGCGUAGGCGGCGCGGUAAGUCGGGUGUGAAAUCUCGGAGCUUAACUCCGAAACUGCAUUCGAUACUGCCAUGCUUGAGGACUGGAGAGGAGACUGGAAUUUACGGUGUAGCGGUGAAAUGCGUAGAUAUCGUAAGGAAGACCAGUGGCGAAGGCGGGUCUCUGGACAGUUCCUGACGCUGAGGCACGAAGGCCAGGGGAGCAAACGGG